UUUUCUGCCACCGAAUACAUUAGCAUGGGAUAAUGGAAUAGGACCCUGUCCUCCUAUUUUCAGUUGGUUUUGGCAGCGCGAGGACUAGGGUAAUGAUUAAUAGGGAUAGUUGGGGGCAUUAAUAUUUAAUUGUCAGAGGUGAAAUUCUUGGAUUUAUGAAAGAUUAACUUCUGCGAAAGCAUCUGCCAAGGAUGUUUUCAUUAAUCAAGAACGAAAGUUAGGGGAUCGAAGACGAUCAGAUACCGUCGUAGUCUUAACCAUAAACGAUGCCGACCAGCGAUUAGGAGACGUUGAAUACAAAACACCACCAUCGGUUGCGCGGUCGUCCUUGGCGUCUCGGUUUCGGCCGGGGCGCGGGGAUGGCUUAGCCCGGUGGCACCGGUGAAUGACUCCCCUAGCAGCUUGUGAGAA
Molecule: ribosomal RNA, 411 nt
Filed under: Acanthamoeba polyphaga
Lineage: Eukaryota; Discosea; Longamoebia; Acanthamoebidae
Description: SSU rRNA
Rfam family: Eukaryotic small subunit ribosomal RNA
Source: RNAcentral